CCUGAUGGUCAUAAUGCUGUGGACCCACCUGAUUCCAUUCCGAACUCAGAAGUGAAACGCAGAGAUGCCGAUGGUAGUGUGGGG
This 84-nucleotide ribosomal RNA is filed under the name Muribacter muris. Lineage: Bacteria; Pseudomonadati; Pseudomonadota; Gammaproteobacteria; Pasteurellales; Pasteurellaceae. The record is from RNAcentral.